GACGAACGCUGGCGGCGUGCUUAACACAUGCAAGUCGAACGGAAAGGCCCUGCUUUUGUGGGGUGCUCGAGUGGCAAACGGGUGAGUAACACGUGAGUAACCUGCCCUUGACUUUGGGAUAACUUCAGGAAACUGGGGCUAAUACCGGAUAGGAGCUCCUGCUGCAUGGUGGGGGUUGGAAAGUUUCGGCGGUUGGGGAUGGACUCGCGGCUUAUCAGCUUGUUGGUGGGGUAGUGGCUUACCAAGGCUUUGACGGGUAGCCGGCCUGAGAGGGUGACCGGCCACAUUGGGACUGAGAUACGGCCCAGACUCCUACGGGAGGCAGCAGUGGGGAAUAUUGCACAAUGGGCGGAAGCCUGAUGCAGCAACGCCGCGUGCGGGAUGACGGCCUUCGGGUUGUAAACCGCUUUCGCCUGUGACGAAGCGUGAGUGACGGUAAUGGGUAAAGAAGCACCGGCUAACUACGUGCCAGCAGCCGCGGUGAUACGUAGGGUGCGAGCGUUGUCCGGAUUUAUUGGGCGUAAAGGGCUCGUAGGUGGUUGAUCGCGUCGGAAGUGUAAUCUUGGGGCUUAACCCUGAGCGUGCUUUCGAUACGGGUUGACUUGAGGAAGGUAGGGGAGAAUGGAAUUCCUGGUGGAGCGGUGGAAUGCGCAGAUAUCAGGAGGAACACCAGUGGCGAAGGCGGUUCUCUGGGCCUUUCCUGACGCUGAGGAGCGAAAGCGUGGGGAGCGAACAGGCUUAGAUACCCUGGUAGUCCACGCUGUAAACGGUGGGUACUAGGUGUGGGGUCCAUUCCACGGGUUCCGUGCCGUAGCUAACGCUUUAAGUACCCCGCCUGGGGAGUACGGCCGCAAGGCUAAAACUCAAAGGAAUUGACGGGGCCCCGCACAAGCGGCGGAGCAUGCGGAUUAAUUCGAUGCAACGCGUAGAACCUUACCUGGGUUUGACAUGGAUCGGGAGCGCUCAGAGAUGGGUGUGCCUCUUUUGGGGUCGGUUCACAGGUGGUGCAUGGCUGUCGUCAGCUCGUGUCGUGAGAUGUUGGGUUAAGUCCCGCAACGAGCGCAACCCUUGUUCACUGUUGCCAGCACGUUAUGGUGGGGACUCAGUGGAGACCGCCGGGGUCAACUCGGAGGAAGGUGGGGAUGACGUCAAGUCAUCAUGCCCCUUAUGUCCAGGGCUUCACGCAUGCUACAAUGGCUGGUACAGAGAGUGGCGAGCCUGUGAGGGUGAGCGAAUCUCGGAAAGCCGGUCUCAGUUCGGAUUGGGGUCUGCAACUCGACCUCAUGAAGUCGGAGUCGCUAGUAAUCGCAGAUCAGCAACGCUGCGGUGAAUACGUUCCCGGGGCU
RNAcentral lists this ribosomal RNA (1346 nucleotides) under uncultured bacterium. RNAcentral's name for it is "bacterial SSU rRNA". It matches the Rfam family "Bacterial small subunit ribosomal RNA", at positions 28 to 1381 of the family's 1533-position model. The record is from RNAcentral.